Long non-coding RNA from Juglans microcarpa x Juglans regia, 529 nucleotides. RefSeq lists it as uncharacterized. The record is from RefSeq and is a predicted model, not a curated record. Lineage: Eukaryota; Viridiplantae; Streptophyta; Magnoliopsida; Fagales; Juglandaceae. The transcript has 2 exons.
CUUAACACUUGGCUUGCUCCGAUUGCGAACUCCUCCUACUGGAAAUACCAAAAUGUCCUUCCUAUUUAUCCUCGCACGGAGGGCAGCUGCUUUCUCUCCCAAAUAGCGGCCUCCGCUUCCUCUUUCACAGCAGCCGAACCUCACGCGGGACUAGGUCAGAAAGACUGAUAUCGCCCUACCAGAUAGCUCAAUCGCAGUUAUCCCAUGUAUUCUUCCACUUGAAGUGACAGCAAAAAUUUCCGGGCAAUGCUGAAUUUUCCAUUGGCAUCAACCCAGUCAUCAUCAGUUGAUUCCUGCAAUCCUGAAGUGAGCAUGUGUCUGCAGUGAAUUUUAAAAUCUAUGUCUGGAAGUUUGGGAUGGAGUUACCUUUUGGCUAUUGCUUUGCAUAAGCAUUUUUACUAACAUUUUACCCAGUCAUUGCUUAUAUUCCAAAUGAUCACCUAACUUCUCACUUUUUAGCUUUUAGACAUGUAAUAUGACUGAUUUCCCGACAAGUUUUUAAGUUCCAAUGUUGAGAUCUCUUUGUUCA